Hippoglossus stenolepis (Pacific halibut) is the source of this 354-nucleotide long non-coding RNA. RefSeq lists it as uncharacterized. The record is from RefSeq and is a predicted model, not a curated record. NCBI's taxonomy places the organism in Eukaryota, Metazoa, Chordata, Actinopteri, Pleuronectiformes, Pleuronectidae. The transcript is spliced from 4 exons.
CUUUGGUCAGAUUGUACCACAGUAUCGUUUCUGAGGAAACCUUCAUGAAGUGAAUAAAUACCAGUCCAGCUUGAGGCUGCUCACAACAGAGGAAAAACACAGCAGAGAGGAGAGCAAAGAAAAACCAUGGACCCUGUGACAAGUGCAGCAGUUGGAGCAGCAGGGGCUCAGGGUAGCACCCCUAAAGCUCUGGGGGCCGCAGGUUUCACCUCAGGUGGAAUUGCAGCAGGCUCCACGGCUGCUAAAAUGAUGUCGGCUUCUGCAGUGGCUAGCGGAGGUAGAGUGGGAGCCGAAGUCUGGUGUCUGCUUGUCAAUCAAAAGGUGCGUCUGGUGCGUCAAAGGGCAAAAGUGAAG